This 449-nucleotide ribosomal RNA is filed under the name uncultured bacterium. RNAcentral describes it as "bacterial SSU rRNA". It matches the Rfam family "Bacterial small subunit ribosomal RNA", at positions 354 to 796 of the family's 1533-position model. The record is from RNAcentral.
GUGGGGAAUUUUGCACAAUGGGCGAAAGCCUGAUGCAGCAACGCCGCGUGUGUGAUGAAGGUCUUCGGAUCGUAAAGCACUUUCGACCGGGAAGAACAAGCUGCUCCUAACACGAGCGGCCCUGACGGUACCGGGAGAAGAAGCACCGGCUAACUCUGUGCCAGCAGCCGCGGUAAUACAGAGGGUGCAAGCGUUGUUCGGAAUUAUUGGGCGUAAAGCGCGUGUAGGCGGCUUGGUAAGUCGGGUGUGAAAGCCCUCAGCUCAACUGAGGAAGUGCGCCCGAAACUGCUGAGCUUGAGUGCCGGAGAGGAUGGCGGAAUACCCCAAGUAGAGGUGAAAUUCGUAGAUAUGGGGUGGAACACCGGUGGCGAAGGCGGCCAUCUGGACGGUAACUGACGCUGAGACGCGAAAGCGUGGGUAGCAAACAGGAUUAGAUACCCCGGUAGUCC